AAUCAGAGAUGAAUAGGGAAACAUUACAGCAGACACCAUAGACAUCCAGAACAUUAUGAGACUUUUCCCAGGGCGAGGCGCAUCCAUUGCACUUUGGGAUGUGUUGACCCCUGUGAUUUACCCAAAUGCAGGUAAUAAUUUGUGGUGUGGGGGACUGUGUUCGCCCUCUCCCCUG
Molecule: small nuclear RNA, 175 nt
Filed under: Nannospalax galili (Upper Galilee mountains blind mole rat)
Lineage: Eukaryota; Metazoa; Chordata; Mammalia; Rodentia; Spalacidae
Description: U1 spliceosomal RNA (ENSNGAG00000003826.1)
Rfam family: U1 spliceosomal RNA (bases 24-175)
About the family: U1 is a small nuclear RNA (snRNA) component of the spliceosome (involved in pre-mRNA splicing).
Source: RNAcentral